UGACGGGUCGUCUAAUGGUAGGACAGCGGACUUUGACUCCGUGAAUGGUGGUUCGAUCCCAUCCCCGUCAGCCA
RNAcentral lists this transfer RNA (74 nucleotides) under Caulobacteraceae bacterium. RNAcentral's name for it is "tRNA-Gln". It matches the Rfam family "tRNA". From Rfam's summary of the family: Transfer RNA (tRNA) molecules are approximately 80 nucleotides in length. The record is from RNAcentral. Lineage: Bacteria; Pseudomonadati; Pseudomonadota; Alphaproteobacteria; Caulobacterales; Caulobacteraceae.